Molecule: long non-coding RNA, 923 nt
Filed under: Piliocolobus tephrosceles (Ugandan red Colobus)
Lineage: Eukaryota; Metazoa; Chordata; Mammalia; Primates; Cercopithecidae
Description: lncRNA (ENSPTEG00000022207.1)
Source: RNAcentral
AUUUCCCUUCCCCUCCAAGAGCCCUUUCUGACCCCUGACUCCUUUCUUUAGCAGCCCUCAAAUGGUUUUCGUGGGUGGAACAUCUCCCUGCGUUUCAGAGGACAUCAGCGCACGUGGUUUCUUUCCUGGCCGCCGCGGCCCACUUGGUCAGUUUCCUCCUAGUUUUGGCCUGGGGCCCUCCCGCCGGGGCUCUGCCGGGUCUGCGGGUCGGGGCGGUCUUUUCACCCCGGAGGAGAGAAAGCAGAGAUUGGAAGCUCGCGCGCUCGGGCGGGGCCUGUCCACCGAGCCCGGCGAGGCUCGGAGGGCCUCGGAGGUGGACGCGCCCCGGCUAUUCCUCCGCGGCUGGGGCUGCUCCGGACGUCCCGCGUCUGGGGCCCGGGAUUCAGCCUGCAAGGAAAUUUUGGUUGUGAGGCAUGCUGGAACCUUACCAGCCAACAGACACGAAGGGGAGGAAGUCCAGGCGGGGCCAGGAAUGAGACUGUGGGAAUUGACCAGAAGGCGGCACCAUGGCUUAGCUUUCAUGUCAGACAGAUCUGCGUGGGCACCCUGCUUCCCUGAGCCUCAGUUUCUUUGCUGGAGGUGGAGUGGAGGUGAGAGUUGAAUCAAAGAAUGUCAUGCCUGGCACACAGUAAGGGCUCCAGAUGGGAGUUCUGCUCUUUUUUCUCUUUCCCUGAGUGGCUAGAAGUCUAAUGAGUGUCUUAAGGGUGAGGUGAACUGAGGUUUUGUCCAGCCUAUGGUUGGUCUAACUUGAGGGAUAGAUGGUCUUCAGUGAGAAUCUAAGUUAGAGCUUGGAGUUAAAGAGACUUGGCCUAGCUCUGAGAGAUGAGGGACAAGGGCUGGCCAAAGAAAGAUUGUCCAGAUCCUGAGGCUUCUGGGCUCAGGGUUGGGCUUUAAUCUGAACUUUGAUCAGUGAAGAAGCUGAC